Molecule: long non-coding RNA, 391 nt
Filed under: Elaeis guineensis (African oil palm)
Lineage: Eukaryota; Viridiplantae; Streptophyta; Magnoliopsida; Arecales; Arecaceae
Description: long non-coding RNA (EGUI_LNC029166)
Source: RNAcentral
CAUCCAAUAAAUCAAGGGAUCAUGGUUGUAUCUUUCAUAUAAAUCUGCUGUAACAUCAUUAGAUCACCCACCGCAUAGCUCUUAAAGCACUCCAAACUCAUCAUUAAUCUGCCUACAUAGAUAUUGGUGGGUGAUAUAAUUGCGGAUGCGUGCAAAGGCCAAGGAUACAACCAUUACCCUAAAGUAUAUGCUUCCCGCUAGAUCGAAAAAAAUUAAAAUAUAAAAUAAAAAAUAAAAAAAUUAUAUGUAUUGCUGAAAGGCUCCGAUGAAAUGUUAAUGUGGUAGGAGUUAGAUGGCAGUUGAAAUCUAUGAUAUUAGAGAAUAUCUACAAAGAAAAUUCAUACUCAUCGAAGAUAUUCCAGUAGAGGAUCCUCCGAUGCUUAAGUUAAUC